CGAGAGGUGCUUGCACCUUUCAAGCGAGUGGCGAACGGGUGAGUAACACGUGGAUAACCUGCCUCAAGGCUGGGGAUAACAUUUGGAAACAGAUGCUAAUACCGAAUAAAACUUAGUAUCGCAUGAUACAAAGUUAAAAGGCGCUACGGCGUCACCUGGAGAUGGAUCCGCGGUGCAUUAGUUAGUUGGUGGGGUAAAGGCUUACCAAGACAAUGAUGCAUAGCCGAGUUGAGAGACUGAUCGGCCACAUUGGGACUGAGACACGGCCCAAACUCCUACGGGAGGCUGCAGUAGGGAAUCUUCCACAAUGGGCGCAAGCCUGAUGGAGCAACGCCGCGUGUGUGAUGAAGGCUUUCGGGUCGUAAAGCACUGUUGUAUGGGAAGAAAUGCUAAAAUAGGGAAUGAUUUUAGUUUGACGGUACCAUACCAGAAAGGGACGGCUAAAUACGUGCCAGCAGCCGCGGUAAUACGUAUGUCCCGAGCGUUAUCCGGAUUUAUUGGGCGUAAAGCGAGCGCAGACGGUUGAUUAAGUCUGAUGUGAAAGCCCGGAGCUCAACUCCGGAAUGGCAUUGGAAACUGGUUAACUUGAGUGUUGUAGAGGUAAGUGGAACUCCAUGUGUAGCGGUGGAAUGCGUAGAUAUAUGGAAGAACACCAGUGGCGAAGGCGGCUUACUGGACAACAACUGACGUUGAGGCUCGAAAGUGUGGGUAGCAAACAGGAUUAGAUACCCUGGUAGUCCACACCGUAAACGAUGAAUACUAGGUGUUAGGAGGUUUCCGCCUCUUAGUGCCGAAGCUAACGCAUUAAGUAUUCCGCCUGGGGAGUACGACCGCAAGGUUGAAACUCAAAGGAAUUGACGGGGACCCGCACAAGCGGUGGAGCAUGUGGUUUAAUUCGAAGCAACGCGAAGAACCUUACCAGGUCUUGACAUCCUUUGAAGCUUUUAGAGAUAGAAGUGUUCUCUUCGGAGACAAAGUGACAGGUGGUGCAUGGUCGUCGUCAGCUCGUGUCGUGAGAUGUUGGGUUAAGUCCCGCAACGAGCGCAACCCUUAUUGUUAGUUGCCAGCAUUCAGUUGGGCACUCUAGCGAGACUGCCGGUGACAAACCGGAGGAAGGCGGGGACGACGUCAGAUCAUCAUGCCCCUUAUGACCUGGGCUACACACGUGCUACAAUGGCGUAUACAACGAGUUGCCAACCUGCGAAGGUGAGCUAAUCUCUUAAAGUACGUCUCAGUUCGGACUGCAGUCUGCAACUCGACUGCACGAAGUCGGAAUCGCUAGUAAUCGCGGAUCAGCACGCCGCGGUGAAUACGUUCCCGGGUCUUGUACACACCGCCCGUCACACCAUGGGAGUUUGUAAUGCCCAAAGCCG
Molecule: ribosomal RNA, 1373 nt
Filed under: Leuconostoc sp.
Lineage: Bacteria; Bacillati; Bacillota; Bacilli; Lactobacillales; Lactobacillaceae
Description: bacterial SSU rRNA
Rfam family: Bacterial small subunit ribosomal RNA
Source: RNAcentral